This 445-nucleotide ribosomal RNA is filed under the name uncultured bacterium. Its description in RNAcentral is "SSU rRNA". It matches the Rfam family "Bacterial small subunit ribosomal RNA", at positions 26 to 518 of the family's 1533-position model. The record is from RNAcentral.
AGAGCGAACGCUGGCGGCAGGCCUAAUACAUGCAAGUCGAACGGAUCCUUCGGGAUUAGUGGCGGACGGGUGAGUAACACGUGGGAACGUGCCCUUUGGUUCGGAACAACUCAGGGAAACUUGAGCUAAUACCGGAUGUGCCCUUCGGGGGAAAGAUUUAUCGCCAUUGGAGCGGCCCGCGUCUGAUUAGCUAGUUGGUAGGGUAAAGGCCUACCAAGGCUUCGAUCAGUAGCUGGUCUGAGAGGAUGAUCAGCCACACUGGGACUGAGACACGGCCCAGACUCCUACGGGAGGCAGCAGUAGGGAAUCUUGCGCAAUGGGCGAAAGCCUGACGCAGCCAUGCCGCGUGAAUGAUGAAGGUCUUAGGAUUGUAAAAUUCUUUCAGCGGGGACGAUAAUGACGGUACCGCAGAAGAAGCCCCGGCUAACUUCGCGUCAGCAGCCGC